CAGCGCCGCGGUAAUACGAAGGGGGCUAGCGUUGCUCGGAAUGACUGGGCGUAAAGGGCGCGUAGGCGGAUUGUUUAGUUAGGCGUGAAAUUCCUGGGCUUAACCUGGGGACUGCGCUUAAUACAGGCAGUCUAGAGUGAGGAAGAGGGUUGUGGAAUUCCCAGUGUAGAGGUGAAAUUCGUAGAUACUGGGAAGAACACCGGUGGCGAAGGCGGCAACCUGGUCCUUGACUGACGCUGAGGCGCGAAAGCGUGGGGAGCAAACAGGAUUAGAUACCCCGGUAGUCCCUGUCUCUUAUACA
RNAcentral lists this ribosomal RNA (301 nucleotides) under uncultured bacterium. RNAcentral's name for it is "partial 16S ribosomal RNA". It matches the Rfam family "Bacterial small subunit ribosomal RNA", at positions 509 to 808 of the family's 1533-position model. The record is from RNAcentral.